AUUGAACGCUGGCGGAAUGCUUUACACAUGCAAGUCGAGCGGCAGCGCGGGGCAACCUGGCGGCGAGCGGCGAACGGGUGAGUAAUACAUCGGAACGUGCCCAAUCGUGGGGGAUAACGUAGCGAAAGUUACGCUAAUACCGCAUACGAUCUACGGAUGAAAGCGGGGGAUCGCAAGACCUCGCGCGAAUGGAGCGGCCGAUGUCAGAUUAGGUAGUUGGUGGGGUAAAGGCUCACCAAGCCAACGAUCUGUAGCUGGUCUGAGAGGACGACCAGCCACACUGGAACUGAGACACGGUCCAGACUCCUACGGGAGGCAGCAGUGGGGAAUUUUGGACAAUGGGCGCAAGCCUGAUCCAGCCAUUCCGCGUGCAGGAUGAAGGCCUUCGGGUUGUAAACUAGCUUUUGUACGGUAACGAAAAGGUACCUGGUUAAUACCUGGGCUCAUGACGGUACCGUAAGAAUAAGACACCGGCUAACUACGUUGCCAGCAGCCGCGGUAAGGCUACG
Molecule: ribosomal RNA, 509 nt
Filed under: uncultured bacterium
Lineage: Bacteria
Description: bacterial SSU rRNA
Rfam family: Bacterial small subunit ribosomal RNA
Source: RNAcentral